UCCUGCCUACGGGGGGCAGCAGUAGGGAAUUUUCGUCAAUGGGCGCAAGCCUGAACGAGCAAUGCCGCGUGAACGAGGAAGGUCUUCGGAUCGUAAAGUUCUGUUGAAGGGGAAAAAGAGCGGAGAGAGGAAAUGGUCUCCGAUUGAUAUUACCCUUCGAGGAAGUCACGGCUAACUACGUGCCAGCAGCCGCGGUAAUACGUAGGUGGCGAGCGUUAUCCGGAAUGAUUGGGCGUAAAGGGUGCGUAGGCGGCCUGCUAAGUCUGGAGUGAAAGGUACCGGCUCAACCGGAGAAUUGCAUCAGA
This 305-nucleotide ribosomal RNA is filed under the name uncultured bacterium. Its description in RNAcentral is "bacterial SSU rRNA". It matches the Rfam family "Bacterial small subunit ribosomal RNA", at positions 333 to 630 of the family's 1533-position model. The record is from RNAcentral.